CAGCAGCCACGGUAAUACGAACCGUGCGAACGUUAUUCGGAAUUACUGGGCUUAAAGCGCGUGUAGGCGGGCCGCCACGUCGGUUGCUGAAAUCCCCCGGCUCAACCGGGGAAGUGGCAUCGAUACGAGCGGCCUUGAGGGGGGUAGGGGGAUCUGGAACUUCCGGUGGAGCGGUGAAAUGCGUUGAGAUCGGAAGGAACGCCCGUGGCGAAAGCGAGGUCCUGGACCCUUUCUGACACUGAGAGACGAAAGCUAGGGGAGCAAAUGGGAUUAGAUACCCGCGUAGUCCCUGUCUCUUAUA
RNAcentral lists this ribosomal RNA (301 nucleotides) under uncultured bacterium. RNAcentral describes it as "partial 16S ribosomal RNA". It matches the Rfam family "Bacterial small subunit ribosomal RNA", at positions 509 to 808 of the family's 1533-position model. The record is from RNAcentral.